UUAACAUCCACAAUGUGAUUUAAGAUGUAAUCAACAUAAAGCUUGAUUGCAUUAUUUUGCAUGCUGUUUUCCAAAUCCAGCUUCGUGUCACACCUACAGCACAUCUCACUCAAGCUGGCCACAUCCCCGCCAUCCAGACGUAAAACAGUCACAAGACAGGGCAGGCAGGGCCGCGGAGGAGGCUGGCUGGGGCCAUCACGGAGUGCCCAUCCUGCACUGUGGUCCCAGCAAGUUUCUUUCUCCUGGCAAGAAGCCUGUCCCAGGCUGGCAGGGGACAGCGUGAGGUGCAGCCUAUGGACUGGGAAAGGGGUGUGGAAGGGCCACACCUAAGUCCUAAAAUCCAGGCCCAAAAGUGGCCCAACUCACUUCUCUGACUUUAAUCACACAGCCAUACCUGGUGGCAAAGGAGUAUUGGAAAUGGAGUCAGGCUGGGUAGCCACGAGCCCAGGAAGAGGGGAGAACAGACUUGGAGAGGGCAGGAGUCUCUGGCCACCAGGGGCUAAAGAGCCUUCGAUGAGGCAGUGAUGUGGGGUCCUGGGCUCAGACCCAGGGUGGGUGGCUAAGGUGCCCUCGCCAGGGCUUAGCCACCCCAACAGAGAUGGGUUUCGUGCCCACGAGAGUGCCUGUGCCUUGUGACGAGAAUUCACCAUGUUUUUGUCUCUGCAGGCAGAGAACAGCAUUGACUUCGUCAGCAGGGAGCUGUGUGCGCAUUCCAUCAGGAAGCUGCAGGCCCAUGUCCUGUUGAUCAAGUGAGUCUGGACCCAUCCCCUUCAGUCACCCCCCAAGGAGACAUGGGCGCCAGGAAUCUCUGGGAGGGGGCCCUGGCAUGAGGCUCCAAGUUCUCUGCGUGUCGACCACAUCGCUAAGACUCAAGAUCUUUUUUGGGAAGCCCCCCUGGCAGCAGGGUCAUGGAAGGAGGAAGGUCAGAGGAGGGGAGGGCUCAGGCAGCAGGGGAUGGGCCGGGGCUGUCCCAUGCCUUUCCACAGGUGUCAGCGGGGGGCAUGCCCAGGUAAGGCUCCAUAACCAGUGAGCCCAGUCUCGACUCACUGCAACCUCUGCCUCCUGGAUUCAAACGAUUCUCCUGCCUCAGCCUCCCGAGUAGCUGGGACUACAGGCGCCCGCCACCACGCCUGGCUUAUUUUUGUAUUUUUAGUAGAGACGAGGUUUCGCCAUGUUGGCCAGGCUGCUCUCCAUCUCCUGACCUCAUGAUCCGCCUGCCUCGGCCUCCCAGUGUUGGGAUUACAGGCGAGAGCCACCGUGCGUGGCCCACCAUAGACGAUUUUUAAGCCAUAAAAAGAAACGAAGCACUGACAUGGGCUCCAGCAUGGAUGAGCCUUGAAAACAUCGCACUAAGUGGAUGAAGUCAGACACAACCGUCUACGUGUUGUAUGGCUGCAUUCACGUUCAAGUCCAAAUAGGACACACGGCAGAGACAAAGCCAGGUCAUGGUUGCUCAGGACCGGAAGCCUGUUGGGGGUGGGGGGGUGGGGUGUGUGUGUGUGUGUGUAAGCUCAGAGGUUUGCGAUUUCUUUGGGGGUGAUGAAAAUGUAAUUGUGACGAUGGUCUCACAACUCAAUGUAUUAAAAACCACGGGAUUGUAGACUUUUUUUUUUUUUUUUUUGAGAUGGAGUCUGGCUCUGUCGCCCAGGCUGGAGUGUAGUGGUGCAAUCUCAGCUCACUGCAAGGUCCGCCUCCCGGGUUCACGCCAUUCUCCUGCCUCAGCCUCCGGAGUAGCUGGGACUACAGGCACCCACCACCAAGCCCGGCUAAUUUUUGUAUUUUUAGUACAGACAGGGUUUCACCAUGUUAGCCAGGAUGGUCUCAUCUCCUGACCUCGUGAUCCACCCGCCUCAGCCUCCCAAAGUGCUGGGAUUACAGGCGUGAGCCACCAUACCCGGCCAGGAUUGUAGACUUUCAAUGGGAGGAUUGUGAAGACAUAAAUUCUCUCUCAGAGCAAGUGUGGGCUCCAGCGCCUGUUCAGAUCCCAGCUCUGCUGUUCAGGGCUGACUGUGACCAAGUCCUGAACUCCCUGCGCCCCAGCAAGGCUGUGCCUUCAGCACUUGCUUGCGCCUGGCUUGUGCCAGCUGAGCGUGAGCUGAGAUUAACUGAGCCUCAAAUCCAACCCAGGGUCAAGGGACCCAGCUGUGGGAGUUGGGGUAGCCCAGGCUUUGGUUUCUCCUCAGAGGCCUGAACCCAGGGCAGGAUGGGGGCACCGCUGGGAGGCGGUUCUAAGAUGAACCCCAACAACCCCCAACUCCUCACUUUCCAGAGCAGUCCACGGAUAUUUUGAUCCAAGAGAGAAUUACUCUGACAAGGAGUCCCUGUCGUUCAUGAUAGACACAAUGAAAUCCACCCUCAAAGAGGACUACUUCGGAUACAAUCACAGCAACCCUGGCCUCGGCCCUGCCCUGUCCCUGCCAUGCAACUUCACAACUCAGCUGGCCUAGACCCCUGGGAGGCCUCCAAGUCCCUAAGGUUAGACAUCUCCUGGGGUGCUAUGGACUGUCGGGGCUCCAAGGAGCCGAGUGUGGGGGAAACUCACUGUGGGAGGCGCUCCUGACCUGCAGGGAGCUGGAAUGCUGUGGGAGGGCCCUGACCCCGGGGCCCAUGGAGCUCCCUAGGCUCCUCUGGCCACAUCUCACUACCCACCCCCUCCCCUCUCCAGCGGUUCCAGUUUGUGGAAGUCCCAGGCAAUCACUGUGUCCACAUGAGCGAACCCCAGCACGUGGCCAGUAUCAUCAGCUCCUUCUUACAGUGCACACACACGCUCCCAGCCCAGCUGUAGCUCUGGGCCUGGAACUAUGAAGACCUAGUGCUCCCAGACUCAACACUGGGACUCUGAGUUCCUGAGCCCCACAACAAGGCCAGGGAUGGUGGGGACAGGCCUCACUAGUCUUGAGGCCCAGCCUAGGAUGGUAGUCAGGGGAAGGAGCGAGAUUCCAACUUCAACAUCUGUGACCUCAAGGGGGAGACAGAGUCUGGGUUCCAGGGCUGCUGUCUCCUGGCUAAUAAUCUCCAGCCAGCUGGAGGAAGGAAGGGCGGGCUGGGCCCA
This 3052-nucleotide long non-coding RNA is filed under the name Homo sapiens (human). RNAcentral's name for it is "non-protein coding lnc-SERHL2-1:6". Lineage: Eukaryota; Metazoa; Chordata; Mammalia; Primates; Hominidae. The record is from RNAcentral.